RNAcentral lists this ribosomal RNA (497 nucleotides) under uncultured bacterium. RNAcentral's name for it is "partial 16S ribosomal RNA". It matches the Rfam family "Bacterial small subunit ribosomal RNA", at positions 28 to 507 of the family's 1533-position model. The record is from RNAcentral.
GAUGAACGCUGGCGGCGUGCCUAAUACAUGCAAGUCGAGCGAACGGACGAGAAGCUUGCUUCUCUGAUGUUAGCGGCGGACGGGUGAGUAGCACGUGGAUAACCUACCUAUAAGACUGGGAUAACUUCGGGAAACCGGAGCUAAUACCGGAUAAUAUUUUGAACCGCAUGGUUCAAAAGUGAAAGACGGUCUUGCUGUCACUUAUAGAUGGAUCCGCGCUGCAUUAGCUAGUUGGUAAGGUAACGGCUUACCAAGGCAACGAUGCAUAGCCGACCUGAGAGGGUGAUCGGCCACACUGGAACUGAGACACGGUCCAGACUCCUACGGGGGGCAGCAGUAGGGAAUCUUCCGCAAUGGGCGAAAGCCUGACGGAGCAACGCCGCGUGAGUGAUGAAGGUCUUCGGAUCGUAAAACUCUGUUAUUAGGGAAGAACAUAUGUGUAAGUAACUGUGCACAUCUUGACGGUACCUAAUCAGAAAGCCACGGCUAACUACGUG